RNAcentral lists this long non-coding RNA (1715 nucleotides) under Nasonia vitripennis (jewel wasp). RNAcentral describes it as "uncharacterized LOC116418376". Lineage: Eukaryota; Metazoa; Arthropoda; Insecta; Hymenoptera; Pteromalidae. The record is from RNAcentral.
UUUGCGUAAAGAAUAGAUCGACUGAAGAUUGACGUAUAAGUUAUUCUAAACGCAGAUUAUCGAGCGUUUUUUUUUUUGUUAUCAAUAUAGUGUAAACAACGCAAUCAGAAGUUUUUUUUAACGCGUAUGAGUGUAUCCCUUUAAAAAGGAUUCAAGUCGUUGUAUCGAUCGAAAGUGAAAAAUACGAAGGUGACAACACAACAUGCGAUUAAAGCUUGGUUCCAGGGAAGUUCGUACAACGUCCAAGAUGUGCCCACAAAAUGGUAUGACGACGAUGAUUCCUUUAUCCAUGAUUUUGGAGCUACACUUGCAUACGGAUUAAACUAUACAGGAAUUUUUGACCGUCCAGAUUUGUUACAUAGAUACAUGACCGAUAAAAGAUUGUAAGACCAGGCAAUAUUUAAAAAUGCGCUUGCCAUUUGCAACUACUCACUGAAUUGAAAUUGACAAUGAAAAAGUAAGCUUGAUGGUUCCAUCAAAGUGAGUCUCUUAAUUUCGAUAAGAUGAUUGGAAACUUUGUAACAUUCGAAACAAUAAUACAUGCGCUAGAUAUAGGGUUGUUUUUUAUCUCAAUAUGAGUAGUGUUCCAUGUAAGAACUUUUUGUCGUCUAUAUUUUUUUUAAAAGUUUUCUGUUUCGCUAAUUUCAAACAGAUAAAUUGGAGAUUGGUUAUCAAACACGAUUUUUGUAAAAAGUGAAGUAUCAUCUCGGUUUACCAAAACAAUAGCAUGUUUCAUAUUUUCUACAAAACAGCUACUAUCAAAUCUCAUCUUAGGAUAAUAAUUCAAAUGAUUUACUGCUGUAUAGCAAAAAGUAUUAAGUUUAUAAUAGAUAAAGGUACUCACAGUUUCUUGCGAUAAAUAAUCCUUUUUCACUGUCAUACUAUUGAUGUAUAAAGUUUCGACACAUUGUGCAAUAACUUUUAUAAUACAAAUAUUGAGCAAUGCGCAUUUAAAUGUCAUAUUUAUAGGUCAGUGACAUAAAAGUUUUGCAAACGUGUUUGCACUUUUUGAUGAACCUAGGUACUUCUUGACGAAUACAGUAGUUUUGGUCAACUGCGAAGUUUUUUAAAAAUUCCAAAUUCAAUGAAAAAUCUACAGUACAGUAAAGCGAGAAAGUGGAGGAGAACAAACUUUGUAGGCACGCGUUUUUCCUCACACACUUUGCAAACAAAAUUGAUUUUCUAACAUUUCUAACAGUAAAUUUUCCUAUACUUUUUACUCAUUUUUCUGGCACACAUUACAACUGUUUGUUCGAAAAAAUUAAAAAAAAAAUUAACCUGUCGAGUUUAUCUACGUGUUUACUUGACAGUUUAUUCAAAUUUUCUAAACAACAAUGUAUAAAUAAGCUCAAUAUGUAAACUGAAAUCAAUGAACUUCCGUGAUUAAUAUUAUUUGUUUAUUCCAACAAUUUAUUUUUAUCUGAGUUUUGUAGAUGCGUUCUUGUUUUAUAACUAUCAUUGAAUUAUUUCGAACUAUUCUAUUUUCCUAGGAUGAGUGCUUGCACAACAUACAUAAUUAUAAAAUCUAUGAGCAUACAUAUAACUUAAGCGGUUUUUGAUUGCUAAAUAUAAUGUAAGUAAAUGGAUAGACCUAUUUCUAAUGCAACAGAUUUUCAAGUAUUUAUUUGUAUCUUCUCUGGUAAAAAAGUUAGCUUAUAUAAACCAAUUUCGACAACUAUCGUAGCUAAUACCGUCACGGGUUAGCUAACUUUUCA